UGCAAGCCGAGCGGUAGAUUGCUUUCGGGCAAUUGAGAGCGGCGUACGGGUGCGGAACACGUGUGCAACCUGCCUUUAUCUGGGGGAUAGCCUUUCGAAAGGAAGAUUAAUACCCCAUAAUAUAAGARACGGCAUCGUUUUUUAUUGAAAACUCCGGUGGAUAGAGAUGGGCACGCGCAAGAUUAGAUAGUUGGUGAGGUAACGGCUCACCAAGUCGACGAUCUUUAGGGGGCCUGAGAGGGUGAUCCCCCACACUGGUACUGAGACACGGACCAGACUCCUACGGGAGGCAGCAGUGAGGAAUAUUGGACAAUGGGUGAAAGCCUGAUCCAGCCAUCCCGCGUGAAGGACGACGGCCCUAUGGGUUGUAAACUUCUUUUGUAUAGGGAUAAACCUUUCCACGUGUGGAAAGCUGAAGGUACUAUACGAAUAAGCACCGGCUAACUCCGUGCCAGCAGCCGCGGUAAUACGGAGGGUGCAAGCGUUAUCCGGAUUUAUUGGGUUUAAAGGGUCCGUAGGCUGAUUUGUAAGUCAGUGGUGAAAUCUCACAGCUUAACUGUGAAACUGCCAUUGAUACUGCAAGUCUUGAGUGUUGUUGAAGUAGCUGGAAUAAGUAGUGUAGCGGUGAAAUGCAUAGAUAUUACUUAGAACACCAAUUGCGAAGGCAGGUUACUAAGCAACAACUGACGCUGAUGGACGAAAGCGUGGGGAGCGAACAGGAUUAGAUACCCUGGUAGUCCACGCCGUAAACGAUGCUAACUCGUUUUUGGGGCGCAAGCUUCAGAGACUAAGCGAAAGUGAUAAGUUAGCCACCUGGGGAGUACGAACGCAAGUUUGAAACUCAAAGGAAUUGACGGGGGCCCGCACAAGCGGUGGAUUAUGUGGUUUAAUUCGAUGAUACGCGAGGAACCUUACCAAGGCUUAAAUGGGAAAUGACAGGCUUAGAAAUAGGCUUUUCUUCGGACAUUUUUCAAGGUGCUGCAUGGUUGUCGUCAGCUCGUGCCGUGAGGUGUUAGGUUAAGUCCUGCAACGAGCGCAACCCCUGUCACUAGUUGCCAUCAUUAAGUUGGGGACUCUAGUGAGACUGCCUACGCAAGUAGAGAGGAAGGUGGGGAUGACGUCAAAUCAUCACGGCCCUUACGCCUUGGGCCACACACGUAAUACAAUGGCCGGUACAGAGGGCAGCUACACAGCGAUGUGAUGCAAAUCUCGAAAGCCGGUCUCAGUUCGGAUUGGAGUCUGCAACUCGACUCUAUGAAGCUGGAAUCGCUAGUAAUCGCGCAUCAGCCAUGGCGCGGUGAAUACGUUCCCGGGCCUUGUACACACCGCCCGUCAAGCCAUGGAAGUCUGGGGUACCUGAAGUCGGUGACC
RNAcentral lists this ribosomal RNA (1371 nucleotides) under Chryseobacterium sp. I_B7. RNAcentral describes it as "16S ribosomal RNA". It matches the Rfam family "Bacterial small subunit ribosomal RNA". Lineage: Bacteria; Pseudomonadati; Bacteroidota; Flavobacteriia; Flavobacteriales; Weeksellaceae. The record is from RNAcentral.